GAUGAACGCUAGCGACAGGCCUAACACAUGCAAGUCGAGGGGCAGCAUGAAAUUAGCUUGCUAAUUUUGAUGGCGACCGGCGCACGGGUGAGUAACACGUAUGCAACCUGCCUGUAAGCGGGGGAUAACCCGGAGAAAUCCGGACUAAUACCGCAUAGUAUCACAAUUUCGCAUGUUAUUGUGAUUAAAGAUUAAUUGCUUACAGAUGGGCAUGCGUCUGAUUAGCUAGUUGGCGGGGUAACGGCCCGACCAUGGCGACGAUCAGUAGCCGGUCUGAGAGGAUGAACGGCCACAUUGGGACUGAGAUACGGCCCAGACUCCUACGGGAGGCAGCAGUGGGGAAUAUUGGGCAAUGGGGGAAACCCUGACCCAGCAACGCCGCGUGAAGGAGAAGGCCU
RNAcentral lists this ribosomal RNA (398 nucleotides) under uncultured bacterium. RNAcentral's name for it is "bacterial SSU rRNA". It matches the Rfam family "Bacterial small subunit ribosomal RNA", at positions 28 to 417 of the family's 1533-position model. The record is from RNAcentral.